This 137-nucleotide long non-coding RNA is filed under the name Mustela putorius furo (domestic ferret). RNAcentral describes it as "lncRNA (ENSMPUG00000031534.1)". Lineage: Eukaryota; Metazoa; Chordata; Mammalia; Carnivora; Mustelidae. The record is from RNAcentral.
CCUGAACAUGCCCUGGUGGGAGGGAUGGGACAGAAGCAGUGGCAGAUGAAGGUGAUGUUUAGAGCCAGUAAAACGAGCUGAUUCUAUGCAUGUUCCUCCUGUGGCCAACUCACAACCAGAGCUAUCUUAAGAAUGGG